UGGGGGAUAUUGCACAAUGGGCGAAAGCCUGAUGCAGCGACGCCGCGUGGGGGAUGAAGGCCUUCGGGUUGUAAACUUCUUUUGCUCUGAACAAGGCAUGCCUUUGGGGUGUGUUGAGUGUAGGGGUUGAUUAGCGCCGGCUAACUACGUGCCAGCAGCCGCGGUAAUACGUAGGGCGCGGGCGUUGUCCGGAAUUAUUGGGCGUAAAGGGCUUGUAGGUGGCUGGUUGCGUCUGUCGUGAAAGCUCAUGGCUUAACUGUGGGUUUGGGGUGGGUACGGGCUGGCUUGAGUGCAGUAGGGGAGGCUGGAAUUCCUGGUGUAGCGGUGGAAUGCGCAGAUAUCAGGAGGAAUACCGGUGGCGAAGGCGGGUCUCUGGGCUGUUACUGACGCUGAGGAGCGAAAGCGUGGGGAGCGAACAGG
This 420-nucleotide ribosomal RNA is filed under the name Fusobacteriota bacterium. Its description in RNAcentral is "Fusobacteria bacterium partial 16S ribosomal RNA". It matches the Rfam family "Bacterial small subunit ribosomal RNA", at positions 355 to 776 of the family's 1533-position model. Lineage: Bacteria; Fusobacteriati; Fusobacteriota. The record is from RNAcentral.